This 459-nucleotide ribosomal RNA is filed under the name uncultured bacterium. RNAcentral's name for it is "bacterial SSU rRNA". It matches the Rfam family "Bacterial small subunit ribosomal RNA", at positions 340 to 786 of the family's 1533-position model. The record is from RNAcentral.
UACGGAAGGCAGCAGUGGGGAAUAUUGCACAAUGGGCGCAAGCCUGAUGCAGCCAUGCCGCGUGUAUGAAGAAGGCCUUCGGGUUGUAAAGUACUUUCAGUCGUGAGGAAGGUGUUAAGGUUAAUAACCUUAGCAAUUGACGUUAGCGACAGAAGAAGCACCGGCUAACUCCGUGCCAGCAGCCGCGGUAAUACGGAGGGUGCGAGCGUUAAAUCGGAAUUACUGGGCGUAAAGGGCACGCAGGCGGUUAAUUAAGUUGGAUGUGAAAUCCCCGGGCUUAACCUGGGAAUGGCAUUCAAGACUGGUUAGCUAGAGUCUUGUAGAGGGGGUGAAAUUCCAUGUGUAGCGGUGAAAUGCGUAGAGAUGUGGAGGAAUACCGGUGGCGAAAGGCGGCCCCUGGGACAAAGACUGACGCUCAUGUGCGAAAAGGCGUGGGGAGCAAAACAGGGAUUAGAUACC